This 69-nucleotide transfer RNA is filed under the name Cheironitis sp. MJTNT-2012. RNAcentral's name for it is "tRNA-Ser". Lineage: Eukaryota; Metazoa; Arthropoda; Insecta; Coleoptera; Scarabaeidae. The record is from RNAcentral.
AAGAAGUGGAAUAUUUAGUUCUGAGCUUCUAACUCAGUCACUUAGUGGUGUAAUUCCAUUAACUCUUCA